RNAcentral lists this transfer RNA (72 nucleotides) under Camelus ferus (Wild Bactrian camel). It matches the Rfam family "tRNA". Rfam says of the family: Transfer RNA (tRNA) molecules are approximately 80 nucleotides in length. Their secondary structure includes four short double-helical elements and three loops (D, anti-codon, and T loops). Lineage: Eukaryota; Metazoa; Chordata; Mammalia; Artiodactyla; Camelidae. The record is from Rfam by way of RNAcentral.
GAGGGUAUAGCUCAAGUGGUAGAGCACAUGCUUAGCAUGAACAAGGUCCUGGGUUCAAUCCCAGUACCUCCU